This is an RNA transcript of Haliotis rubra (blacklip abalone), 1602 nucleotides long. RefSeq lists it as uncharacterized. NCBI's taxonomy places the organism in Eukaryota, Metazoa, Mollusca, Gastropoda, Lepetellida, Haliotidae. The record is from RefSeq and is a predicted model, not a curated record. The transcript is spliced from 10 exons.
CUGCUGGUCUCAGCAGCUGGAGGGAGAGAGAGAGACUGUCACUGGUGUCUAGCCAUGGCGUGUUUGGAUGGUGUCAUCUUGAUUUUUCUGUUCUGCGGAUUUCUCCAAGCAGAGGCCAAGUACACAUGUCACUGUAAGACACAGUGUCCUGCGGUGCCGAACAACCGCCCGUCAGCAGUUUGCCAGGAAGGAUGCGCGCGUGGGUUCUACGGAAUGCACUGUCAGAACCAAAAUGUUGCUCUGGAAAGGAGAGCUUCGCAAAUUAGUACGUAUACAGAUUUCCUGAGGCGAUUCGGGAAACUGGGUAAAACUAUCCCAAACACACCGGAGAGGGCCGUCGACGGAAACGCUAAUACAUUCUACUCACGACGUUCGUGUACACACACAGGCUUAAACGAGACAGCUCCAUACUGGACUGUGGAUCUUGGUCAAGCGUAUGAUUUGUACAGAAUGGUCAUAUACCACAGGAGUACACUAACCGAACGCUUGAGUGGCUUCGAGGUGAAGGUUGAUGGCAGAAUGUGCUAUCGAUGGGAAAGCAAAGAGGCCCCCCACCCAUUCGGAUAGCCCUUAACUGCUUGCAACCAAUGAGAGGUCAAAACGUCACAAUAGACUUGCCAAAGAGGGAAGACGGCGCCUUACAGAUUCUCACGUUAUGUGAAGUUCUUGUGCUCGUGUGCAAUGACUACUGGUUCGGGGUUCAGUGUGAGGAGACCUGCCGCUGUCGAGACCCCCCUGGAAAUAUGCAACAAGGUCACGGGUCACUGUGACAGCGGAUGCGCUAGCGGCUAUGUGGGUGACGACUGUCAACAAGUUUCAGGAACCAACCAGGGCUCAUCGAUAGGUCCAGAUCCAGGUAGAACGAGCCAGGCCACGGCUACAGAGUUAAUGGGAGGAGCUACUCCAAACCCGGGGUCGAACAACGAUGGUGGGGAUAUAACGAAUAUACCGACAGGUGGGCAAAUAACAGCUAUAACCUUUGCCGUUAUCGUCGCCAUGGUAGCUGCUGUUUCAUCUCUCCUCUACUUUCUGAGAUGGAGGGAAUCCAAGAGAGCCAUGACCCCCGACAGUAACUAUGAUGACCUCAGCAGACCGGAUAUUCCCGAACACAGAUAUGUGACAAUGUCAGAUGUCGUGCGGAAGCACAGUACAAACUCGGGGGUCAAGGUCAAGACUGAUAGCGAGGCUAAAUGCAGAGACAGCGAGAAUCAUUAUGACCAUGUGAUUGACAGCGAGGCCUUUCCAGAUGAAAAUGGGUAUUUGGUUCCUAUUGGAGAGACCAGGGCGUCCAGUGUCAAUCAGUAUGACCAUGUGAUUGACAGCGAGGCCUUUCCAGAUGAAAAUGGGUAUUUGGUUCCUAUUGGAGAGACCAGGGCGUCCAGUGUCAAUCAGUAUGACUAUGUGAUUGACAGCGAGGCGUUUCCGGAAGACCAGGGGUAUUUGGAGAUCAAGGCUCCCAGCGUCAAGAAAUAGGGACGCGAGGAGAAGCGGCAGACUUUUCAACGUUGUCACAAGAUACAUUAACACUGGAGUGAUUGAGUGCGUGAGUGCGUGAGUGCGUGUUUGGGAGAAUUGUGUUUUACGCCGUUUUUAGCAAUAUGC